RNAcentral lists this ribosomal RNA (249 nucleotides) under uncultured bacterium. Its description in RNAcentral is "partial 16S ribosomal RNA". It matches the Rfam family "Bacterial small subunit ribosomal RNA", at positions 796 to 1041 of the family's 1533-position model. The record is from RNAcentral.
CAUGCCGUAAACGAUGAUAACUAGAUGUAGGAGGUAUUGACCCCUUCUGUGUCGAAGCAAACGCGAUAAGUUAUCCGCCUGGGAAGUACGGUCGCAAGAUUAAAACUCAAAGGAAUUGACGGGGGCCCGCACAAGCGGUGGAGCAUGUGGUUUAAUUCGACGCAACGCGAAGAACCUUACCUAGACUUGACAUGUAUUGAAGGCUUGAGAAAUCAGGCUGUGCCCGCAAGGGAGCAAUAACACAGGUGC